Molecule: RNA transcript, 3044 nt
Organism: Haemorhous mexicanus (house finch)
Lineage: Eukaryota; Metazoa; Chordata; Aves; Passeriformes; Fringillidae
Gene: TAFA5
Gene name: TAFA chemokine like family member 5
Exons: 5
Source: RefSeq, a predicted model, not a curated record
UGCCCCCGCGCGGGGUGUGAAGCCCCGGCCCCUCCUCCGCAGCCCCGGGCUCGCCCGCCCUGCUCGGGAGUGUGGUCCCUGCCGGGAGCCGCCGCGCCUGGCGCACAGAGGGAAGCGUUGAUGCAUCGCUGUGGAAAUUCAUUGUGUGACUUUCUGGGUAUUUACUGAGUUUCAGACCGAGAUGCAGCUCUUGAAAGCUUUAUGGGCACUAGCAGGAGCAGCGAUCUGCUGUUUUCUUAUAUUUGUCAUCCACUCACAGUUUCUUAAAGAAGGUCAACUGGCUGCAGGUACAUGUGAGAUUGUUACUUUGGACAGAGAUAGCAGUCAGCCCCGAAGGACUAUAGCCCGACAAACAGCCCGCUGUGCAUGUAAAAAAGGACAGAUUGCCGGUACAACAAGAGCAAGGCCAGCAUGUGUUGAUGCACGAAUUAUCAAAACAAAACAGUGGUGUGAAAUGCUUCCAUGUUUAGAAGGAGAAGGCUGUGAUUUGCUAAUCAAUAAAUCAGGCUGGACCUGUACACAACCAGGAGGACGGAUAAAGACAACCACGCCUGUCUGAGGACAUGUGGUUUGGAGAUCUGAUCACUAGUCCGAAAAGGAAAGGCUGUUUGCAAGAUUUCCGGGGUGUUUUUUCCUGGAAAAGGUCUCCUGACAAAUGCAGCAACACAGAAUCCUCGUAGGAGUGGUUUAGGCUCUCUGUGAGCUACUUAACUUAGUCAAGUUUCACUGCUGUUGAUCAUCAUCUGUUAUAUGUCAUCAACUCAACUGUCUGUUUCUCUGUAUCUCAUGAAUGACAGCAUAAUUCCUCUGCAUUAUGAGCUAAAGUUUGUUCCACCAUUCUAAGGAUCACUGGACUAAGGAAUAUAGAAAAAGAGAUAUGCUUGGGCAUUAGCAAUACAAAAAAGUUCAUGGUUAACGUUUCAUCUGCGUUAUACACCACUGCUGGACUUGCUGUUACCUACAUGUUUCAAUCCGAAGAGUCUGCUACAAUGAAGAGUAUCAUCCCAAUCAGCCUUAGAGAAGACUGUUUUGCCUAUGGGAGGACACUGAGGUGCAAAAGAGAAACUCUUCUUGUGCCCUAAACUGUCUGAAUUGCUUUUAUUUUCUUAUACUUUCAGUAUUUACAAUAGACCAAAGAGCAAAAUCUAUUUUAAAGUGGACACAAUCUUACUCUUAAGAGAGUUAUGUCAUUAAAUUGAAGGUCUCCACAAAGACAUGAUUCCAGCUUUCACAAAGCUGAAAUGUUGUCCAGCAGAAGUCUUUAUGGAAAGCUGAAGUAAAAACUAACUCAGAGACCUGCUCUUGAAAUGCCAUAUUCAAGAGAACAUAACGGAGCACUGAGAGAAAAUGACCUAUGUUUGAAAAACUUGGACAAAAAGAAUACAAACUGUCUACGCAGCACCUUUAUUCCUCUGUACUUAGAUUGACUUUCUCGUACUAAAAUCAUUUUCCGUUUUAACCAGUUAAACAUGCCUCUUCUACAGUUCCAUUUUUGAUAGUUAAAGUUGGAUAAUACAGUAUUUGCAAAGAGCAUGUUUGGUCAUCUGUGGCCUAUGUCUCAUCUGAUACACCAUUUAGCACCAGAACGCAAAUUAAAGAGAAAACAAAAGUAACACUUGUUUGAAAGAGAUCAUUAAAUGUAUUUUGAAAAGCCUAAAGUUAUAUAUUUAACAGUUUUUAUAUGUUGUAUAUUUGUAGAAAAUCCUAUUUAACAAUUAACGUGAUAACUCUGACAGUCAUGAAAAGUGGUUCAGAGUUAAGUUGUGUUUUAUUACUUCAGUUGUCUCUGAAGUGACCGGUGUCGUUUGCUUUCUUCCAUUGGGACAUUCUGGAUGUAAAGCAUGACCAGAGAGGACUGUGUAGAAAAAGCAAAGAAUAAUGUUGUUUAUAUUACAUAAAUGCAUUCAACCAUUGCACUGUUGGAAGGCUUUUUUUUUUUUUUUUUUUUGGUCUUUAUGUACUGAUAAAAAUAGAGUGUAAAAUAUUUUACUCAUUGCUCUUCAUAGCAAGGUUUUCCUUCCUUCCUUCCUUCCUUCCUUCCUUCCUUCCUUCCUUCCUUCCUUCCUUCCUUCCUUCCUUCCUUCCUUCCUUCCUUCCUCCCUUCCUCCCUUCCUCCCUUCCUCCCUUCCUCCCUUCCUUCCUCCCCUCCUCCCUUCCUCCCUUCUUUCUCUUCCUCCCUUCCUCCUUCUCUUCCUUCUCUUCCCUACUUUUAUGUAAGGGUCAAUUUGAAGCCUAUUCCUUGAUCCCAUUUUCAGUGUUUUACCUCAUUGUUAGAAAGCCCACUUUCAGCAUUAUUGGUUAGUGAAAAUUUAGCAAAGACAGCAUAGACAAGGGAGAAAUUAUGAUAAAACAGAAACAAAACCUUGUUCCUUUUACUGUACCUUUUGGCAUAUAAGUUUAGUACAUACUGGUAUGAUACAAUCAACAAGGGAGCUUAAUUUCUUCCUAGCAAAUGUAUUAUGGUUUCAAAUAUACUACCUAAUACUCCAAUUAACUUUUAGUGUUAUGCUAGUUCUAUUCUACUAAAGAAAAAGAUAUAGAGAUUAUUCAAGUGACCAUAGAUGAAAGAUAUAAAAAUGAAAAGUUGAUUAAAGAUUUUUUUUAAAGCCCACUCAAACACUGAGGCUUAUAUAAUGCAGAGGUUGCAGGAAAAUAUGAACUAUGGAUCAUUCUGUCUUCAAGAAAAAUAAAUAUAUACAAAAUUCUUAUAUAAUCAUAGGAUUUUGACCAGUAUCAAAGUAGCAAUUAAAGCCCAGCCACUUGUAAAGUGUUAUGGACUGACUGCACUAUUAAUGACCAAUGUCAGGUUUAAAAUGUCAUGCAAUAAAUGAUGGUAAAUAGAUUUACUGUACAUGUAGACCUCAAGAGCCAGAUCCCUCACUUUACCAACUCUCUGUUUUGAUUUAUUUUAAAGGGAGCUUCGUAGCCUUAUUUAGUAAACACAGAAAAAAAUGAAAGAUGUUGCAUCAUUUUUGUUGCUUUACAGUAUUCAGUUUUGUGUUCGUUCAGCUAAAUUAUGAAAAAUAAAGAAAAUCCUUUUAUAA